RNAcentral lists this ribosomal RNA (460 nucleotides) under uncultured bacterium. RNAcentral describes it as "partial 16S ribosomal RNA". It matches the Rfam family "Bacterial small subunit ribosomal RNA", at positions 338 to 795 of the family's 1533-position model. The record is from RNAcentral.
CCUACGGGAGGCAGCAGUGAGGAAUAUUGGUCAAUGGACGAGAGUCUGAACCAGCCAAGUAGCGUGAAGGAUGACUGCCCUAUGGGUUGUAAACUUCUUUUCUAAAGGAAUAAAACGAGGCACGUGUGCGUUUUUGCAUGUACUUUAUGAAUAAGGAUCGGCUAACUCCGUGCCAGCAGCCGCGGUAAUACGGAGGAUCCGAGCGUUAUCCGGAUUUCUUGGGUUUAAAGGGAGCGUAGGUGGAUUGUUAAGUCAGUUGUGAAAGUUUGCGGCUCAACCGUAAAAUUGCAGUUGAAACUGGUUUUCUUGAGUGAGUGAGAAGUAUGCGGAAUGCGUGGUGUAGCGGUGAAAUGCAUAGAUAUCACGCAGAACUCCGAUUGCGAAGGCAGCAUACCGGCGCUCAACUGACGCUCAUGCACGAAAGUGUGGGUAUCGAACAGGAUUAGAUACCCCUGUAGUC